GAUGAAGAACGUAGCGAAAUGCGAUAAGUAGUGUGAAUUGCAGAAUUCAGUGAAUCAUCGAAUCUUUGAACGCACAUUGCGCCCCUUGGUACCCCGAGGGGCAUGCCUGUUCGAGCGUCAUUUCACCACUCAAGCCUGGCUUGGUGUUGGGCGACGUCCUCUUUGGGGACGCGCCUCGAAACGCUCGGCGGCGUGGCACCGGCUUUAAGCGUAGCAGAAUCUUUCGCUUUGGAAGUCGGGGCCCCGUCUGCCGGAAGACCUGCUCGCAAGGUUGACCUCGGAUCAGGCAGGGAUACCCGCUGAACUUAAGCAUAUCAAUAAGCGGAGGA
RNAcentral lists this unclassified non-coding RNA (329 nucleotides) under soil metagenome. Its description in RNAcentral is "partial contains 5.8S ribosomal RNA, internal transcribed spacer 2, and large subunit ribosomal RNA". The stretch from base 1 to 120 matches the Rfam family "5.8S ribosomal RNA", at positions 35 to 154 of the family's 154-position model. The record is from RNAcentral.